Molecule: ribosomal RNA, 434 nt
Filed under: uncultured bacterium
Lineage: Bacteria
Description: partial 16S ribosomal RNA
Rfam family: Bacterial small subunit ribosomal RNA
Source: RNAcentral
AGCGAACGCUGGCGGCAGGCUUAACACAUGCAAGUCGAGCGGGCACUUUCGGGUGUCAGCGGCGGACGGGUGAGUAACGCGUGGGAACGUGCCCUCUGGUUCGGAAUAACUCAGGGAAACUUGAGCUAAUACCGGAUACGCCCUUUUGGGGAAAGGCUUGCUGCCGGAGGAUCGGCCCGCGUCUGAUUAGCUAGUUGGUGAGGUAACGGCUCACCAAGGCGACGAUCAGUAGCUGGUCUGAGAGGAUGAUCAGCCACACUGGGACUGAGACACGGCCCAGACUCCUACGGGAGGCAGCAGUGGGGAAUAUUGGACAAUGGGCGCAAGCCUGAUCCAGCCAGGCCGCGGGAGUGAUGAAGGCCUUAGGGUUGUAAAGCUCUUUUAGCCGGGACGAUAAUGACGGUACCGGAGGAAUAAGCCCCGGCGAACUUCGG